Molecule: long non-coding RNA, 987 nt
Filed under: Felis catus (domestic cat)
Lineage: Eukaryota; Metazoa; Chordata; Mammalia; Carnivora; Felidae
Description: lncRNA (ENSFCAG00000041964.2)
Source: RNAcentral
AAUGUCUUAAUUGAAAGAAAAAAAAUAAACACUUUCAGGAAACGAGCCCCGCGCUGACAGGAAACAGGACUGUUCCAUGUGUUGGACAAACGUCCCUUCUGAAGAAAAGUGCUGGUCCUUCCACUACUGACACAUCUAUGCAGGCUGACUUAAACCAAUAGCUGAGCUUCUGGGGAAAAGUGGGGACACUGUCUUCCGAAGGCCCCUGCCACGUAAAGGAUUUUCUGCUGUGAGUGUGUGCUAUUCUUAUGACGGGGAAAAAACGAGCUUCGAAGGACCGUGCUUCUGUGUUGAAUGUGGCGUCUACACAGGCAUCUACUUUGAACAGCUCUGAGAAUAUGCUCCAGGGAGUGAAGUGAGGAAUAACACAACCAUCCUGGCGCUGGCCUCCCUGCUUCUACCCUUGACUCCCUCCAGCUGGUGCUCUGCACGGCAACCAGAGCUUGAAACAUCUCAUGAAGCGCUCGCAACAGAAAACAGAAAGAAAAAUGAUACAUGCAGGGAAGCAGAAACGUCAGACAAAGUGAGUUAUUAUAAAUGCGACUACAGUGGGCAGAGGAUGUGAGUCAAUAAUGGGAGGAAACUGCCAUGGCCGUCCUCCAUCUUGAAUAGCCCAGAUCCUGACUGGCCUGACCCCCGGGGCUUUCUCACAGCAUGGCUGGUGGCUACAUGUCUCAAAGAGGAUUAGGUGCCGCUGUCGGUAAAGCAAGACUCUAAAUCACAGUAGUUCAAGAAGACAGAACUUUGCUUCCUCGUGUAAAAGUUAGGGCAGGGCAGUCCAGAGCUGGUGUGGCUGUUGUGCUUCCUGCAGUCCUCAAGGGUCCAGGCUCCCUUCCUCUCACUGCUCCCCAAUCCCCAGGGUGCGACCUUCCAUCUAUGGUGUGAGAUGACUGGGAGUCUAGCCACCACAUGGGAAUUCUGGGCAGCAGAAGAGGCAAGGGGUGAAGAAGAAAACUGCACCACGGUAUGUGCCUGCUGUCUUUUGAA